AAACAAGGAACAAAAACCUAUACUUACCCUCCUUCAUCAAACUUCAACCAUGCUCCUAACCACUAAACUUGACAAUCUUGAAUAAUGUGGCCUAAGAAGAGUGACAUGGAGGCAGGAGGUCUUAGACCAAUUCCAAUGGCGUUGGAAAGUCCAGAGCAGCUCUGGUUCUUCAUUCGUAAAGUUUAUUCAAUUAUAGCCAUACAAGUGCUUGUGACGGUUGCCGUGGCAGCUACAGUUAAUUUCGUUGGUCCUGUCACACACUUUCUUGUGCAUACUAAGGCCGGGUUGGCUCUCUACAUUGUCAUCAUCUUUAUUCCCUUCAUUGUUCUAUGUCCAUUAUACUACUAUUACCAGCUGCGUCCUGUAAAUUAUAUUCUCCUUGGGGUGUUUACUAUUGCACUCGGAUUUGUGGUCGGACUCACCUGUGCAUUCACCAGCGGAAAAGUUAUCCUGGAAUCUGCAACUCUUACCGCUGUAGCUGUGGUAAGUCUCACCCUGUACACGUUCUGGGCAGCAAGGAGAGGCCAUGAUUUCAGUUUCCUUGGGCCCUUCUUGUUUGGUGCCUUCAUUGCUGUUCUGCUGUUUGCUCUGAUUCAGAUUUUCUUCCCCCUGGGCAAGAUCUCUGUGAUGAUCUAUGGGUGCCUGGCAUCAAUCUUAUUUUGCGGAUACAUAAUAUACGACACGGACAACUUGAUUAAACGUUAUGCUUAUGAUGAGUACAUUUGGGCUGCAGUUUCUUUGUAUAUGGACAUCAUCAAUCUCUUCCUCUCUCUCUUAACUUUUUGCAGUGCCCAGGAAGGAUAGCUAAAGAAGAGGUAUCAUUACUGGGUUUUCUGUUUCUUCAUUAUGCAUUUCAGUUUUAGAAAUUGAAUUUUUGAAUUAUUUUAUAUAAAGUUGUUUUCCUGUAAAAAAGAAAAGAAAAUCUCAAGUUGAAUUAUUUUUCAUGGCAUGUGAUCAGGCCUAGCAACUGCAGAUUUCUAGCUUCAUGUAGGCUUAUUAAAAUACUGACGGUUCAGGGCUCCAGGAUGGACAAAAUACAGGAAUUCAUUUAUAGAUGAAUUCUAAAUUUCUAAUUCAUUUUAGCUAAAUGAUAUAAUUCUGCAGAAUGGCUAUGGCCUACUGCGGUAUUACUCACAGGAACAAAUUAACAACUCAUUGGUUCAAUAGAAUCACAAGCCUAAGUAAUUGUCUUGGUUCUGAAUUGCCCACUGCUCUUCUUCCAUUGGGAGACAAUGGAGAGAAGCUUGGAAAUCCCAUCAGUCCACAUAUCAUGUUCUCUCUGGUUCUUGCACUCGAGUUCUUCAAUACCUCUAGUUGCAGUUUUCAAUCCGAAGUAUCGACGCUCGAACAAGUGUCUUCCAGGCCAUGCUGGCAUGUUCUUGCACAUUUCCAACACCACAUUCUUGUUCUUUUUGGUGAUAGUCCCUGCAACAAGUCUGCUUUUCAUCUUCAGCAUCACCUACAAACUGACCCGAUGGGUGAAUAUAAACAGAGACAAAUUUCUAAUGUAGAUCACCUUUGCGGGUGCGUUUGAGAAGCUCACUGCCCCUUGCAAGAAAAUCAAGAUUACAGCCAACCCAGAAAGUUCUCUUCAUAGACAACCUCGCCGCUAUAGUUUCUGAUAUGAUGCCCAUUAUUAUUCCCUGCCCCUCAAAUUCCCAAACCUCCUUCCCUUGGUAUCACCGCUGGAACGUUCAGUAUCUUUUAAGGCCUCCUCCAAAUGUAGUACCAAACAAGUACUUAGUCCUCUUGCCUUCAAGGUUGAUGCCCCGCGAAGAGCUGCACAAGAACGAAAAAAUUCAUCAUACAGGAAAUAUUUGCAAAAAUUUCUCACUUGCUGCGGAGAGAACUAUCAUUUCCAGUAGCUGCGGCUGCUGUAAGAGUGGUGAUAUCAUCACGAGAACGAACAUUCACAGCAGCGCUCACCACUGAAGUGAGAUGGUCAUGCUCAGGCCCCAUGCCUUCCGCUGCCUGCACACAUCGUGCAGCCACCAACGUAGUCGCAGUUGCGACAGCUAUGUGAGUCUUGCCCAGCUGUUCGUUUCUUUCUGCUGCUGAAGAAGAAGCCGUGGCUGCUGCUAUAGCCGCUACAGCAGCAGCCACAGCAGCUACUGAAACCGCAGCAUGGAGCUUGCGCAUUGCGGGCUCUGGUUUCUUCUUUCUUCUUCUCUUUCCUGUCCUUCAACCACCUCCCAACAGUCUUCGUCCCAGCAGCAGUGGUGCUACAGCUGUUGCCUGCGCCGGCGCAACCGCCAUUGAAUGGGGUGGUUAUGGUGUUCUGUGAAUGGAAAUA
RNAcentral lists this unclassified non-coding RNA (2293 nucleotides) under Hevea brasiliensis (rubber tree). Lineage: Eukaryota; Viridiplantae; Streptophyta; Magnoliopsida; Malpighiales; Euphorbiaceae. The record is from RNAcentral.